AUUGAACGCUGGCGGCACGCCUAACACAUGCAAGUCGAACGCGUGGCGCACGUGUGAGUAAUGUCUGGGACACUGCCUGAUGGAGGGGGAUAACUACUGGACGCUGUCGCUAAUACCGCAUACCAUCGGAUGUGCCCAUAUGGGAUUAGCUAGUAGGUGGGGUAAAGGCUCACCUAGGCGACGCUCCCUAGCUGGUCUGAGAGGAUGACCAGCAAAACUGGAACUGAGACACGGUCCAGAUUCCUACGGGAGGCAGCAGUGGGGAAUAUUGCACAAUGGGCGCAAGCCUGAUGCAGCCAUGCCGCGUGUAUGAAGAAGGCCUUCGGGUUGUAAAGUACUUUCAGCGGGGAGGCGUUACCCGCAGAAGAAGCACCGGCUAACUCCGUGCCAGCAGCCGCGGUAAUAC
This 406-nucleotide ribosomal RNA is filed under the name uncultured bacterium. RNAcentral describes it as "partial 16S ribosomal RNA". It matches the Rfam family "Bacterial small subunit ribosomal RNA", at positions 30 to 526 of the family's 1533-position model. The record is from RNAcentral.